RNAcentral lists this ribosomal RNA (482 nucleotides) under uncultured eukaryote. Its description in RNAcentral is "bacterial SSU rRNA". It matches the Rfam family "Eukaryotic small subunit ribosomal RNA", at positions 592 to 923 of the family's 1831-position model. The record is from RNAcentral.
CAAUAGCGUAUAUUAAUGCUGCUGCUGUUAAAAGCUCGUAGUUGGAUUAAGAGUUUCACGGUGCUGUGUGGCCCAUCGUAGUCAUAUCCCCAUCGGGUUAUGGUGAAAGUGCGGAUCAAACCCACAGCAUUAAGCCGUGUGCUCUAAUAGCCCGAAACGGUUGAUGGUGGACGGCUCCUUCAUUGGGGCUGAAAGCGAUUUCGCAUUUACCUUAUGCAUAAGUCACGUCGGGCGAUGUCACUGUGAACAAACCAGCGCGUUCAAAGCAGGCUUUUGCCAGAAUGUUCGAGCAUGGAAUGACAAGGGAUCGACCAAAAUGGUCCUUUUUGUUGGUUUCUGUACCAAAAUGGGUAACUCUGUAUACAAAGACUGGACAAGAUCCCCAACUCUUCGGGUUGGGGCCUUGACCAGCUUGUAUUCAAACGGGAUCAAUAGAGACAAUCGGGUCGUAAGUACUCGGAUGUCAGAGGUGAAAUUCUUAG